UACGGAAGGCAGCAGGUGGGAAUAUUGCACAAUGGGCGCAAGCCUGAUGCAGCCAUGCCGCGUGUAUGAAAAGGCCUUCGGGUUGUAAAGUACUUUCAGUCGUGAGGAAGGUGUUAAGGUUAAUAACCUUAGCAAUUGACGUUAGCGACAGAAGAAGCACCGGCUAACUCCGUGCCAGCAGCCGCGGUAAUACGGAGGGUGCGAGCGUUAAUCGGAAUUACUGGGCGUAAAGGGCACGCAGGCGGUUAAUUAAGUUGGAUGUGAAAUCCCCGGGCUUAACCUGGGAAUGGCAUUCAAGACUGGUUAGCUAGAGUCUUGUAGAGGGGGUAGAAUUCCAUGUGUAGCGGUGAAAUGCGUAGAGAUGUGGAGGAAUACCGGUGGCGAAGGCGGCCCCUGGACGAAAGACUGACGCUCAUGUGCGAAAGCGUGGGGAGCAAAC
RNAcentral lists this ribosomal RNA (439 nucleotides) under uncultured bacterium. Its description in RNAcentral is "bacterial SSU rRNA". It matches the Rfam family "Bacterial small subunit ribosomal RNA", at positions 340 to 773 of the family's 1533-position model. The record is from RNAcentral.